RNAcentral lists this non-coding RNA (168 nucleotides) under Candidatus Thiodiazotropha endolucinida. Lineage: Bacteria; Pseudomonadati; Pseudomonadota; Gammaproteobacteria; Chromatiales; Sedimenticolaceae. The record is from RNAcentral.
AAACCCGCAAGGGGAUGUCUGAAGGAAACCUAAGCGCAAAACAGCGAGCCGACGGACAGGAAUGUCAUAUAAGGCCUACUUCCCUGGGGCAAGGUGGCACAAGACAUCAAAGCCCUGUGGUUCGGGGGAUAAGGUAAAUGGCGCGGUUGUGCUGUGAAAGUUCAUGUU